CAGAGGGAUGCAAAUCCGCGAGGAGGAGCGACCCCCAAAAGCCGUCUCAGUUCGGAUCGCAGGCUGCAACCCGCCUGCGUGAAGUCGGAAUCGCUAGUAAUCGCGAAUCAGAAUGUCGCGGUGAAUACGUUCCCGGGUCUUGUACACACCGCCCGUCACACCAUGGGAGUCGGAAAUGCCCGAAGUCAGUGACCUAACCGAAAGGGAGGAGCUGCCGAAGGUGGAGCCGGUAACUGGGGUGAAGUCGUAACAAGGUAGC
This 259-nucleotide ribosomal RNA is filed under the name uncultured bacterium. RNAcentral's name for it is "partial 16S ribosomal RNA". It matches the Rfam family "Bacterial small subunit ribosomal RNA", at positions 1240 to 1500 of the family's 1533-position model. The record is from RNAcentral.